This 253-nucleotide unclassified non-coding RNA is filed under the name uncultured Verrucomicrobiota bacterium. RNAcentral's name for it is "uncultured Verrucomicrobia bacterium contains 16S-23S intergenic spacer region". It matches the Rfam family "Bacterial small subunit ribosomal RNA", at positions 524 to 776 of the family's 1533-position model. Lineage: Bacteria; Pseudomonadati; Verrucomicrobiota. The record is from RNAcentral.
UACAGAGGUCCCAAGCGUUGUUCGGAUUCACUGGGCGUAAAGGGUGCGUAGGCGGCCAGGUAAGUUUGAUGUGAAAUCUCCGAGCUCAACUCGGAAACUGCAUUGAAUACUAUCCGGCUAGAGGGUUGGAGGGGGGACUGGAAUUCUCGGUGUAGCAGUGAAAUGCGUAGAUAUCGAGAGGAACACCAGUGGCGAAGGCGAGUCCCUGGACAACUCCUGACACUGAGGCACGAAAGCUAGGGGAGCAAACAGG